GACGAACGCUGGCGGCGUGCUUAACACAUGCAAGUCGAACGGUAAGGCCCUUCGGGGUACACGAGUGGCGGACGGGUGAGUAACACGUGGGUGAUCUGCCCUGCACUUCGGGAUAAGCCUGGGAAACUGGGUCUAAUACCGGAUAGGACUCCUGCCUGCAUGGGUGGGGGUGGAAAGCUUUUGCGGUGUGGGAUGGGCCCGCGGCCUAUCAGCUUGUUGGGGGGGUGAUGGCCUACCAAGGCGACGACGGGUAGCCGGCCUGCGAGGGUGACCGGCCACACUGGGACUGGGAUACGGCCCAGACUCCUACGGGAGGCAGCAGUGGGGAAUAUUGCACAAUGGGCGCAAGCCUGAUGCAGCGACGCCGCGUGAGGGAUGACGGCCUUCGGGUUGUAAACCUCUUUCAGCACAGACGAAGCGCAAGUGACGGCAUGUGCAGAAGAAGGACCGGCCAACUACGUGCCAGCCGCCGCAGUAA
This 478-nucleotide ribosomal RNA is filed under the name uncultured bacterium. RNAcentral's name for it is "partial 16S ribosomal RNA". It matches the Rfam family "Bacterial small subunit ribosomal RNA", at positions 28 to 523 of the family's 1533-position model. The record is from RNAcentral.